This 72-nucleotide transfer RNA is filed under the name Camelus bactrianus (Bactrian camel). It matches the Rfam family "tRNA". From Rfam's summary of the family: Transfer RNA (tRNA) molecules are approximately 80 nucleotides in length. Their secondary structure includes four short double-helical elements and three loops (D, anti-codon, and T loops). Further hydrogen bonds mediate the characteristic L-shaped molecular structure. tRNAs have two regions of fundamental functional importance: the anti-codon, which is responsible for specific mRNA codon recognition, and the 3' end, to which the tRNAs corresponding amino acid is attached (by aminoacyl-tRNA synthetases). tRNAs cope with the degeneracy of the genetic code in two manners: having more than one tRNA (with a specific anti-codon) for a particular amino acid; and 'wobble' base-pairing, i.e. permitting non-standard base-pairing at the 3rd anti-codon position. Lineage: Eukaryota; Metazoa; Chordata; Mammalia; Artiodactyla; Camelidae. The record is from Rfam by way of RNAcentral. RNAcentral also lists the same sequence under 2 other names.
GAGCGUAUAGCUCAGUGGUAGAGCGUGUGCUUAACAUGCAUGAGGUCCUGGGCUCAAUCCCCAGUCCCUCCA